GAUGAACGCUGGCGGCGUGCCUAAUACAUGCAAGUCGAGCGAACAGACGAGGAGCUUGCUCCUCUGACGUUAGCGGCGGACGGGUGAGUAACACGUGGAUAACCUACCUAUAAGACUGGGAUAACUUCGGGAAACCGGAGCUAAUACCGGAUAAUAUAUUGAACCACAUGGUUCAAUAGUGAAAGACGGUUUUGCUGUCACUUAUAGAUGGAUCCGCGCCGCAUUACCUAGUUGGUAAGGUAACGGCUUACCAAGGGAAGGAUGCGUAGCCGACCUGAGAGGGUGAUCGGCCACACGGGAACUGAGACACGGUCCAGACUCCUACGGGAGGCAGCAGAAGGGAAUCUUCCGCAAUGGGCGAAAGCCUGACGGAGCAACGCCGCGUGAGUGAUGAAGGUCUUCGGAUCGUAAAACUCUGUUAUUAGGGAAGAACAAAUGUGUAAGUAACUAUGCACGUCUUGACGGUACCUAAUCAGAAAGCCACGGCUAACUACGUG
Molecule: ribosomal RNA, 497 nt
Filed under: uncultured bacterium
Lineage: Bacteria
Description: partial 16S ribosomal RNA
Rfam family: Bacterial small subunit ribosomal RNA
Source: RNAcentral